This 253-nucleotide ribosomal RNA is filed under the name uncultured bacterium. Its description in RNAcentral is "partial 16S ribosomal RNA". It matches the Rfam family "Bacterial small subunit ribosomal RNA", at positions 524 to 776 of the family's 1533-position model. The record is from RNAcentral.
GACGUAGGGCGCGAGCGUUGUCCGGAUUUAUUGGGCGUAAAGAGCUCGUAGGCGGCCACUCAAGUCGAAUGUGAAACCUCGAGGCUUAACCUCGAGCCUGCAUUCGAUACUGGGUGGCUAGAGUCUGGUAGGGGGAUCUGGAAUUCCUGGUGUAGCGGUGGAAUGCGCAGAUAUCAGGAGGAACACCGGUGGCGAAGGCGGGAUCCUGGGCCAGUACUGACGCUGAGGAGCGAAAGCGUGGGGAGCAAACAGG